GACCCUCUCCCCAUGAGUUUACGGCCGUAAACUCAUGGUGGGGUGAGUUAUGGCACAAAAUGGCUUCAAACACUAAGGGAAUAAUUUUAGAAUUUGGUUUAAGGACUUGGAAUGAUUUUUAAACAUCAAAAAGACCCAUUUAAGGGAGUUUACGGCCUAGCAUAGGCUCCUGGCCGUAAACUCCUAAAUACCCAAGAAAAAUUGUGUUUUUGGUUUCCAAACAAAUCACAUGUGAUUGCUAAAAUUAUUCCUAGGCCUUUCAUGCAUUUCUUUGAAAUUUUGGAGGGGUUUUUGGAGUUUACGGCCUAUGAGACCCCCCUCAUGGCCGUAAACUAUCUUAGAGAGUGAUUCCAUGUGUUUUAAAGCCAAAAACUUGUUUGUAAGGACUUCUAAAAUUCAUUCCAAGGCUUUAGGGGUGUUAUAGGGGUUAAACAACACUUUAAAAUGAAUUUUCACCAUGUUUUAAGGAGUUUAUGGCCCAAGCACUUGCCUUGGCCGUAAACUCACAAUAAUCCCUCAAAAAUUAUGUUUCAAGUGUCAAAAUGCUAAAACUAAUAUCCUAAAAUUCAUAUAUAAGUCUUAUAAGUGUUUUGGAAGGGUUUAAGGUCACAAAAACCCCAUAAAUAUGAGUUUACGGCCCAAGCUUGUGCCUUGGCCGUAAACUCCUUCAAAUCCAUCAAAGUCCAAAUGUGUUUAUGAAGGGUUUUAUGGCUUAAAAAACCCACUUAUUAUGAGUUUACGGCCUAAGAUCCUUCCAUGGCCGUAAACUCAUAUACAAGGUCUUAAAUCAUGAUUAAAUCCCUAAUUUGGAAGCCAUAUAUGCUAUACAUUAAGGUUAGGAAGGUACCUUAGGGAUUUGAGGCCUUAAAAUUGAGUUUUGGACCCUUAAACUUGGAUUUUAGGUGAGAGGUUAGAGAGAGAGUAGAGAGAGAAGGAAAAAGCUUCAAAUGAAAGGUUUAACAUGUUUAUAUAGUUCCUAAAACUUGGAUAAGGUGGAAUUCUACCCGAUACCAGCCUUAAACGAGGCUUUAGGUCGCACCCGAUUAAGUUUCCGUCACCCGGCGGGGACGUUUCUAAAAAUUAUGAAAUAAAAAAUUUUGGGCUAGAUAUAUGAGUUCCUAUAAGGUUUGGGCACUCAUUGGAUUAAAAUAAACAUAUAAAUUUAACUAACUAAACCCAAAAACGACAUCGGAACGUUUCGAUAUACGGCGAGUUAUACGGGUAGAAUGGGUUUUUCGGCGAUGGAAAACUUCGGGUUGUUACAUUAUCCCCCCCGUUAGAGGGAAUUUCGUCCUGAAAUUCAAAGAAUAAGAUAUAGAUCAUGAAUUAGAAUAAGACAUGAAUGGAGUUGUUGCCUCGGAUCUUUAUUUUCUCAAGUGGAAUCAGGUCUCUACUGGGCGUUCUAACGAAUUCUCAUUAUCGGGACGUGUCUUUGUUUUGUACUUUGACUCUUUCUCAAUCUACGAUAUCAAUCUAUUUUCUCAUGGAAGUUCCAACCCUGGACGACUUCGGUUUCCUCAAAGGAAUCACUAGGGUUUCGUCGAGUAGGUGCUUCUAAGGAUUCGAGAUGUGAUAGACUGGAUAGAUGUUAUCAAGCUCUAAGGGCAUCCGAAAUCUGAAGAUUGCAGAAUCGAUUUCUACAGAGAUCUCGAAAGGUCUGAUGUGGAACUAAACUAGAAAUUCGAAAGAAAUUCCCGGGAAUCCUUCGGGAAAGACAUUUAGAGAAAAGAGCUGUUAACUUCCCGUUUCUCAAUAAUCACAGAAACGAAGGAUGUGUGGUAAUUCAUAUCGGGAAAACUUUUGAGUUCUAAGGCAUGGAAUGAUACGAAGGUUUGAUGCCGAAAGUCACAAGAACCGGGUCGAGGAAAAGAUCUAGAUGAGCGACCCUUUCGAAACCAAGGAUAACAACAUGAAUGAGACUCGGGCAUUUCAUGUUAAACAUAGCAUCAAAGUAUUUUUGUGAAAAGUUUCCCCCUUUAAAACCGAAUGGAACAGAAUAAUCCUCCGGACUGAGGAUUCAAUCUAUAGGUACGAAGUUAGUGUUCUCUAUCUCACUGGUUAGUCAUCUCGACGGUACACAUUUCGAUUACAUACGAAGGAUUGAGUUUAGAAAAUGUUCGAAUAGAUAGAUAACAGGUUUCCCUUUUUGUACCAAAAUCGAAAAGAGUUGCAGGUAUAAGAAUUACUAAAGAGAAGUAUACCUGCGGCGACAGAGGGAUCAGUGGUCGUAGCUGCCUUGGGGCAAUUCCUUUUGAAGUGCCCAGCUUCACCACAAUUGUAACAGGCCGGACUAAUUCCCGCUCCGGAUGAUUGGUUCGUUGGCUUGGCUGGUUUUCUGCAGGUUCGAGCAAGGUGGCCCUUAUUGCCACAGUUGUCGCAGAUCCUUUCGCGACAUGGACCAGGAAUGCGGUGGUGGUAGUUGCACUUACCACACCAAGGAAGGGUACCAGUGUAUCCACUGGCGGGAGUUUGGGCUGUCGAACCUACAGCUGAAACAGCAACAAGGGCAGUAGCAGCAUGGACUGCUACCGUUUGCUGUUUCUUAGAAGACCCUUGCGUACUCUGGGCCUUCCGCUUGUUCCAGGAUUUCUUUUUGCUUCCGCCUCCACUGGUGACUGGCUCGGGGGUGGUAGCUUCCUCAUCAGAGUUGUCUUCGUGAUCGAUCAAGAUUUUCGCAAGACAUUUAGCACUGUCAUAUGUGUCUGGCUUCGCAGCCAAGACAUUCCCCUUUGUUGGCUGGGUCAACCCCCAGAUGAACCUCUCAAUCUUUUUACUCUCCGGGGUAACCAUUCCCGGACAGAGUAACGCCAGAUCAUCGAAUCUUGAAGUAUAAGCAGCUAUGUCGGAACCCUUCAUCUUAAGGUUCCAAAGUUCGUGUUCUAGCUUCUGGAGUUCGCCCCGAGGGCAAUAUUCUGCGAGAAGAAGCUCCUUCAUAGCUUCCCAACCCAUAGCAUUGGCUACAGGUAAAGUUAAGGAUUUGACUCGGCCAUUCCACCAAGUCAGGGCUUUGUCUAGGAAGGUACAGGCGGCAAACUUGACUCUAUCAGACUCCGAACAGCCACAUAUUUCAAAGAUUGAUUCGAUUCUCUCGAACCAUCGGGUUAAGGCAAUGACACCCCCUGUGCCAUCGAAGAAUGUCGGUUUUGCGUUCAUGAAGUCUUUAUAGGAACCCCCUUUUUGGUGUCCCUGGCUAUCAUCUGGGUUUUGGGUUUCACCUCCCGAACCCCUAGAGUUCAGUUGAGGUAAGAGAGCUGAUAUGGUAGCAGAAAUGGUUGCCUGAAGUGUUUCCAAAUCGAUUUGAAUAGGAGGUGGUGGCGGAGGAGGAUUGUUGUUGUUCGUUGAGCUGGGUCUCUUUCUUGGAGGCAUCUUGAUCUAAAAAGAUCAGGAAAGAGAGGAUCAUAAGUCCUCUGAAUUGAAUCAAGAGAUAUGGGACAGGAGAUAUCUCAUCAAGGCAAAUAUAGCAUCAUACUAAGCGAUAAAGCAGAAAGGAGUUAUCAAGAUAGAACAUUUUAUCGCUAGAGGAAUAAUCAAGGAAUAACGCGUAUACAGGAAUUUCUACAAAGGAUCGGCUCGAGAAAUACUCCCAUAGUAUUUCAUGGUUCGCUGCAGCGACGAUUCGUUGUUUGGGAUAUUAGGUAAGUUUUAGGUAUGCCGCAUGCCACAGUCACUCCCAAGCACAUGUUGGCCGUGUCUCGAAUGAAUAUAGUUGGCCAGGCUAUAUUGACCCUAGACACGACUACAUAACUGCCCAGGUUUAACCGCAGUGUACAACACCCAUUUACUUAUGUUUUGUUCUACUUGUAGUUACGGAUUUCGACGGCUCGGCAUACUUAAAUACUUUUGAAAAUACUUAUAUUUUGUAGGAUACUUUUAGUUCAGAGCACUUAGGCCCCUUAAUGUUUAUAGUUUUAUACCAUGUAAGGUUUGGUAUACUCUGUUCACUAUAAACAAGGGCUCUGAUACCAAUCUGUCACACCCCGAAAACCAAAGGCGGAAACGUUCCCGGGGUUGACUCCACGUUGAGUAUCAAAUCCAAUGUACAUAGUAAUCACAGUAAACAACCAUUACAUUACAUAUAUAUGAAAGUUUACAUUUGGUUCAAAAGUAAAUUGUACAAAAGUUAUACAUAUAUCAUAUGAACAAAAGAGACGAGUCUUCAGAGCACUCCGUCUUCACCAAAAGAUAUCGCCGGGUACCUGUCUAACUUGGACCUGAGAAUACAAGCAGUUUGAAAAUCAGCAUAAAGCUGGUGAGUUCAUAAGCGGUUUUGUUUUGUGAAAAUGUAUCGGUUUCCUUUAGUUUUCUGAAAAGAUUUGAUAUCCAAGAAAAUCCCAUAUUUUCUUAUGUAAAGUAGUUAAGUUAUCUUUCGUUACAGUUCUGUUACAAGUUAUAAGUUAACCCCAGGAAAAUCCCAUAUUUUCCUAAAUGCAAGAUUGAUUGAAUAACACAUAGUAUAGUUUAAUAUACAAAACUAUAAUUUAGACGAACUGUAAAUAGAAAGUAUUUUGAAAACCUUGGGACUAACAUCCCGAACCAGUUAUAAGAUAAUUCGAUAAAGACCAUGGGAUCACUAUCCCGAAAAUAGAUAUAAGAUAACUUGAUAAACCAUGGGAUCACUAUCCCGAAACUAGAUAUAUGAUAGAUUGAUAAAAUCAUGGGAUUAUCAUCCCGUAUAAGAUUUAGUUUCAAAACCAUGGGAUUACCAUCCCGAACGAAAUAUAGACACAAGAUCAUGGGAUUAUCAUCCCGAACGAGAUAUAGACAUAAAACCAUGGGAUUACCAUCCCGAACGAGAUAUAGAUACAAGACCAUGGGAUUAUCAUCCCGAACAAGAUAUAGAUUCUAAACAAAAUCCUAGCUGUGAAUAAGUUUAUAUUAAUACGUAUUGUGAGUCGGGUAACCAUGCUGAUAUGACAACGAGACCUCCUUGACGUUAGUCAGACGUCGAAUGAUAUACAGAAUUUGUCACCCCAGGCGUGCCCGCCUAACUGUAGCUAGCAGUUAAGGUGUGGGAUUGUCAGUCCCGAAUAGAUCUAUUCACAAAUUCCUCGCUCUCCCUCCAGGAGACUCUGGUUACACUUCCGGAGAGGAUUUACUUGAUCAUCCAUAAAGGGUAGUGACUAUCUCACAAGCUAGUAUUAAACUAUUCACAGGAUUCUCAUACGAUACCAGACAUACAAAGAUUUUAAGACAUGAUACAAUGAAAAUAGUUACAUACAGGAAACUAUCUGGCAAUACAUUCAAAUGAUACGGAGAUAAACUGAAUCAGACAUAGUUUAUCUAAUAACUUUAUACAGAUAUCAGUACAUGAUAUAAAGAGAAUUAUAGAACCCCAAAUUAUUCCCAUAAUAAUUUGAUUAGUUUGGUUAUUUUCUUAACUAAAAUCCAUUUAGUUGUAAUUGAUAAAUCAUUCCUUAUGCUCAACAUAAUACAUAAGGAGUAAAAGAGUUUAUAAGUUUGCCAGAUAUUAUUUGAAACACAUAAAUGUUAUGAUUUGAAAACAGUUAUGGUUUGCUUGUAUUCCCCCCUGAAAACAGUUAAAAACAGUGAAAAAGGCGUAGGGGUAUGAACUCACCGGACGAGAAAUGUGACGAUUUGGAUGCUAAGAGUUGAUCCGGGGCUUGUAAAUACACGAGGUUCCUAAUUAUAAUGUAAAGAUACACAUUUGUAUCUAAUUAGGACUUAGUUUAUUUAUAUGAUAGGGACACUUGCUUCAAGUCGCGAAAACACUCCGAUACAAGUGUUUGGAGGGACCCGGGUGGCGUUUAAGGACGUGAAAUGACACUAGGGACUUGGGACUUGAGUUUACUCCCCAUGAGUAAACUAAUAGAAGAGUUUUGGUCUAAAACACCCAUUCCCCAUGAGUUUACGGCCGUAAACUCAUGGUGGGUGUGGUUUAAGGUGCUAAAUGACUUCAUACACUUAGGGAAUAAUUUCUAGACUUGGUUUAAGGACUUGAAAGGAUUUUAAAACAUAAAAUAGACCCACUUAUGGGAGUUUACGGCCUAGCAUGGCUCCAUGGCCGUAAACUCCUAUUUUUCCAAGAAAAUGAUGUUAAAUGGAGCUAGAACAAAUCACAUGUGAUUAAUAGAAUUAUUUCAAGGCCUAUUAUGAGUUUGCAAGGGACAUUUGAGGAGUUUAUGGAGUUUACGGCCCAUGAGACCCCCUCAUGGCCGUAAACUCAUCUAUAGGGUGCUACAAGAUGUUUCAAGGUCUAAAACUUGCAUGGAAGGACUUCUAAAAUUCAUCUAAGGGCCUUAGGGGUGUUUAGUUUGCAUUCUAACACCAAAAAUCAUGGAGUUUACGGCCCAAGAACAAGCCUUGGCCGUAAACUCUUAAAAAUCCCACAAAUAGUGUGUUUAAGGCCCUCAAACUAUUUUUGGUUGGUCCAUUGAUUUAUUCCAAGGCUUUUGGUGGUGUUGGAUGGCUUUCUAACACCUUAGAAUUGAAUUUAUGCCAAGUUUUGAGGAGUUUACGGCCCAAGCACAUGCCUUGGCCGUAAACUCACAUAAGUCCCCCAAAAAUCAUGUUUCAAGUGUCCAAAUGCUAAAACCAAGGUUCUAUAAUUCAUAUCUAAGCCAUACUAGUGAUUUGGAAGGGUUUAAGGGCAUGAAAAACCCCAUUUACAUGAGUUUACGGCCCAAGCUUAUGCCUUGGCCGUAAACUCCUUCAAAUGACUCAAAAUCAAAGUUUUAAAUGUUCUAAGUCCAUAUCUUGAAGUCCCUUAGCCAUAUCUAAAGUCCAAAUGAGUUUAGGAAGGAGUUUAAGGGCUUAAAACCCUUCAAAUUGGUGUUUACGGCCUAGGCAGCCUCCUGGGCCGUAAACUCACAUAUGAUGUCCCAUUUCAUGAUUAAAUGUCAAAUUUGGAAGCCAAAUAUGCUAUAGAUUAAGGCUAGGAAGGUACCUUAAGGAUUUGAGGCCUUAAAAUUGAGUUUUGGACCCUUAAUCUUUGGAUUUAGGAGAGAGGUUAGAGAGAGAGUAGAGAGAGAAGGAAAAAGCUUCAAAUGAUAGGUUAAACACGUUUAUAUAGUUCCUAAAACUUGGACACGGUGGAAUUCUACCCGAUACCGGCCUUAAACGAAGCUUUAGGUCGCACCCGAUUGAGUUUCCGUCACCCGACGAGGAUAUUUCUAAAACUUAUGAAAUAAAUGUUUUGGGCUAAAUUCAUGAGUUCCUAAAUGAUUUGGACCCUCAUUGAAUGAUAAUAAACAUAUAAUUUUAGUUAACUAAACCCAAAAACGAUAUCGGGACAUUUCGAUCUCCGACGAGUUAUACGGGUAGAAUGGGUUUUCGGCGAUGAACAACUUCGGGUUGUUACAUUAUCCCCCCGUUAGAGGGAAUUUCGUCCCGAAAUUCAAAGAAUAAGAUACAGAUCAUGGAUUGGAAUGAGACACGAAUGGAUUUGUUGCUUUGGAUCUUCACUUUCUCAAGUGGAAUUUGGUCUCUACUGGGCGUUUUAACGAAUUCUCAUUAUCGGGACAUGCCUUGAUUUCGCUUCUUGACUCUCUCUCAAUCUACGAUAUCAAUCUGAUUUCUCGUGGAAGUUCCAACCCUGAACGACUUCGGUUUCCUCAAAGGAAUCACUAGGGUUUCGUUGGGCAGACGUUUCUAAGGAUUCGAGACGUGAUGGUCUAGAUAGAUAUUACCAAGCUCUAAGGGCAUCCGAAACCUGAAGGUUGCAGAAUCGAUCUCUACGAAGAUCUCGAAAGGUCUGAUGUGAGACUAAACUAGACGCUCGAAAGAAACUCCCGGGAAUCCUUCGGGGCAGACAUUUAGAGGGAAUAGUUGCUAACUUCCCGUUUCUCAAUAAUCACAGAAACGAGGGAUGCGUGAUAAUUCACAUUGGGAAAACUUUUGAGUUCUAAGGCAUAGAAUGAUACGAAAGUUUGAUGCCGAAGAUCACGAGAACAGGGUCGAGGAAAAAUCUAGACGAGCGACCCUUUCGAAAGUAAAGAUAACAACAUGAAUGAGACUCGGUCAUUUCUUGUUAAACAUAGCAUCAAAGUAUUUUCAUAGAAAGUUUCCCCCUUUUUAAAUCGAAUGGAACAGAAUAGUCCUCCGGACUGAGGAUUCAAUCUAUAGGUACGAAGUUAGUGUUCUCUAUCUCACUAGUUAGUCGUCUCGACGGUACACAUUUCGAUUACAUACGAAGGAUUGAGUUUAGAAAAUGUUCGAAUAGAUAGAUAACAGGUUUCCCUUUUUGCACCCAAAAUCGAAAAGAGUUGCAAGUAUAAGAAUUAUCAAAGAGAGAUAUACCUGCGGCAGCAGAGGGAUUUGUGGUUGUAGCUGUCUUGGGACAAUUCCUUUUGAAGUGCCCAGCUUCACCACAAUUGUAGCAGGCCGGACUGAUUCCCGUUCCGGAUGAUUGGUUCGUUGGCUUGGCUGGUUUUCUGCAGGUUCGCGCAAGAUGGCCCUUAUUGCCACAAUUGUCGCAGAUCCUUUCGCGACAUGGACCAGGAAUGCGGUGGUGGUAGUUACACUUACUACACCAAGGAAGGGUACCAGUGUAUCCACUGGAGGGAGUUUGGGAUGUGGAACUGACAGCUGAAACAGCAACAGGGGCAGUAGCAGCAUGGACUGCUACCGUUUGCUGUUUCUUAGAAGACCCUUGCGUACUCUGGGCCUUCCGCUUGUUCCAGGAUUUCUUUUUGCUUCCGCCUCCACUGGUGACUGGCUCGGGGGUAGUAGCUUCUUCAUCAGAGUUGUCUUCGUGAUCUAUCAGGAUUUUCGCAAGGCACUUAGCACUGUCAUAUGUGUCUGGCUUCGCAGCCAAGACAUUCCCCUUUGUUGGCUGGGUCAACCCCCAGAUGAACCUCUCUAUCUUUUUACUCUCCGGGGUAACCAUUCCCGGACAAAGUAACGCCAGAUCAUCGAAUCUUGAGGUAUAAGCAGCUAUGUCGGAACCCUUCAUCUUAAGGUUCCAAAGUUCGUGUUCUAGUUUCUGAAGUUCGCCCCGAGGGCAAUACUCUGCGAGAAGAAGCUCCUUCAUAGCUUCCCAACCCAUAGCAUUGGCUACAGGUAAAGUUAAGGAUUUGACUCGGCCAUUCCACCAAGUCAGGGCUUUGUCUAGGAAGGUACAGGCAGCAAACUUGACUCUAUCAGACUCCGAACAGCCACAUAUUUCAAAGAUUGAUUCGAUUCUCUCGAACCAUCGGGUUAAGGCAAUGACACCCCCUGUGCCAUCGAAGAAUGUCGGUUUUGCGUUCAUGAAGUCUUUAUAGGAACCCCCUUUUUGGUGUCCCUGGCUAUCAUCUGGGUUUUGGGUUUCACCUCCCGAACCCCUAGAGUUCAGUUGAGGUAAGAGAGCUGAUAUGGUAGCGGAAAUGGUUGCCUGAAGUGUUUCCAAAUCGAUCUGAAUAGGAGGUGGUGGCGGAGGAGGAUUGCUGUUGUUCGUUGAGCUGGGUCUCUUUCUUGGAGGCAUCUUGAUCUAAAAAGAUCAGGAAAGAGAGGAUCAUAAGUCCUCUGAAUUGAAUCAAGAGAUAUGGGACAGGAGAUAUCUCAUCAAGGCAAAUAUAGCAUCAUACUAAGCGAUAAAGCAGAAAGGAGUUAUCAAGAUAGAACAUUUUAUCGCUAGAGGAAUAAUCAAGGAAUAACGCGUAUACGAGAAUUUCUACAAAGGAUCGGCUCGAGAAAUACUCCCAUAGUAUUUCAUGGUUCGCUGCAGCGACGAUUUGUUGUUUGGGAUAUUGGGUAAGUUUUAGGUAUGCCGCAUGCCACAGUCACUCCCAAGCACAUGUUGGCCGUGUCUCGAAUGAAUAUAGUUGGCCAGGCUAUAUUGACCCUAGACACGACUACAUAACUGCCCAGGUUUAACCGCAGUGUACAACACCCAUUUACUUAUGUUUUGUUCUACUUGUAGUUACGGAUUUCGACGGCUCGGCAUACUUAAAUACUUUUGAAAAUACUUAUAUUUUGUAGGAUACUUUUAGUUCAGAGCACUUAGGCCCCUUAAUGUUUAUAGUUUUAUACCAUGUAAGGUUUGGUAUACUCUGUUCACUAUAAACAAGGGCUCUGAUACCAAUCUGUCACACCCCGAAAACCAAAGGCGGAAACGUUCCCGGGGUUGACUCCAUGUUGUGUAUCAAAUCCAAUGUACAUAGUAAUCACAGUAAACAACCAUUACAUUACAUAUAUAUGAAAGUUUACAUUUGGUUCAAAAGUAAAUUGUACAAAAGUUAUACAUAUAUCAUAUGAACAAAAGAGACGAGUCUUCAGAGCACUCCGUCUUCACCAAAAGAUAUCGCCGGGUACCUGUCUAACUUGGACCUGAGAAUACAAGCAGUUUGAAAAUCAGCAUAAAGCUGGUGAGUUCAUAAGCGGUUUUGUUUUGUGAAAAUGUAUCGAUUUCCUUUAGUUUUCUGAAAAGAUUUGAUAUCCAAGAAAAUCCCAUAUUUUCUUAUGUAAAGUAGUUAAGUUAUCUUUCGUUACAGUUCUGUUACAGAUAUAAGUUAACCCCAGGAAAAUCCCAUAUUUUCCUAAUUGUAAGAUUGAUUGGAUAACACAUAGUAUAGUUUAAUUCACAAAACUAUAAUUUAGACGAACUGUAAAUAGAAAGUAUUUUGAAAACCUUGGGACUACAUCCCGAACCAGUUAUAAGAUAAUUCGAUAAAAACCAUGGGAUCACUAUCCCGAAAGUAGAUAUAAGAUAGCUUGAUAAACCAUGGGAUCACUAUCCCGAAACUAGAUAUAUGAUAGAUUGAUAAAAUCAUGGGAUUAUCAUCCCGUAUAAGAUUUAGUUUCAAAACCAUGGGAUUGCCAUCCCGAACGAAAUAUAGACACAAGAUCAUGGGAUUAUCAUCCCGAACGAGAUAUAGACAUAAAACCAUGGGAUUACCAUCCCGAACGAGAUAUAGAUACAAGACCAUGGGAUUAUCAUCCCGAACAAGAUAUAGAUUCUAAACAAAAUCCUAGCUGUGAAUAAGUUUAUAUUAAUACGUAUUGUGAGUCGGGUAACCAUGCUGAUAUGACAACGAGACCUCCUUGACGUUAGUCAGACGUCGAAUGAUAUCCAGAAUUUGUCACCCCAGGCGUGCCCGCCUAACUGUAGCUAGCAGUUAAGGUGUGGGAUUGUCAGUCCCGAAUAGAUCUAUUCACAAACUCUUCGCUCUCCCUCCAGGAGACUCUGGUUACACUUCCGGAGAGGAUUUACUUGAUCAUCCAUAAAGGGUAGUGACUAUCUCACAAGCUAGUAUUAAACUAUUCACAGGAUUCUCAUACGAUAACAAACAUACAAAGAUUUUAAGACAUGAUACAGUGAAAAUAGUUACAUACAAGAAACUAUCUGGCAAUACAUUCAAAUGAUACGGAGAUAAACUGAAUCAGACAUAGUUUAUCUAAUAACUUAAUACAGAUAUCAGUACAUGAUAUAAAGAGAAACAUAGAACCCCAAAUUAUUCCCAUAAUAAUUUGAUUAGUUUGGUUAUUUUCUUAACUAAAAUCCAUUUAGUUGUAAUUGAUAAAUCAUUCCUUAUGCUCAACAUAAUACAUAAGGAGUAAAAGAGUUUAUAAGAUUGCCAGAUAUUAUUUGAAACACAUAAAUGUUAUGAUUUGAAAACAGUUUUGGUUUGCUUGUAUUCCCCCCCUGAAAACAGUUAAAAACAGUGAAAAAGGCGUAGGGGUAUGAACUCACCGGACGAGAAGUAUGACGAUUUGGAUGCUAAGAGUUGAUCCGGGGCUUGUAAAUACACGAGGUUCCUAAUUAUAAUGUAAAGAUACACAUUUGUAUCUAAUUAGGACUUAGAUUGAUUGUUGGAUAGGGACAAUUGCUUCUAGUCGCGAAAACACUCCGAUACGAGUGUUUGGAGGGACCCGGGUGGCGUUUAAGGAUGUGAAAUGACACUAGGGACUUGGGACUUGAGUUUACUCCCCAUGAGUAAACUUAUAAAUGAGUUUACAACCACAAAACACACACAUACAUGAGUUUACGGCCGUAAACUCAUGUGGGUGUGGUUUUGGGUGUUUAAAUGGCUUAAAUGGCUUACAUGGACAUGGGAAAUGAUUCUAGGCUUUGAUCUAAAUGCAUGGAAUGGAUUAAAAUCACCAAAAUGAUUAAUUUAUGGGAGUUUACGGCCUAGCAUAGGCUCCUGGCCGUAAACUCCUUAAUCCUUAUGAAAAUGAUGCUAAAUGUUGUUAAAACCAAUCACAUGUGAUUCUAAAAAUUCCCACAAGCCUAGAAAUGAGUUUACAAGUGACAUAUGAGGGAUUUAUGGAGUUUACGGCCUAUGAGACCCCCUUCAUGGCCGUAAACUCUAAUAUAUGGAGCUACAAUGUGUUUCAAGGUCUAAAACUUGCAUGAAUGGACUUCUAAAAUUCAUCUAAAGGCUGUAGGGGUGUUUAGUUUGCAUUCUAACACCAAAAAUUUUGGAGUUUACGGCCCAAGAACAGGUCUUGGCCGUAAACUCUUAGAAAUCCCAUAAAAGAUGUGUUUUAGGCCCUUAAAGUAUUUUUGGUUGGUCCCUUGAUUUAUUCCAAGGCUUUUGGUGGUGUUGGAUGGCUUUCUAACACCUUAGAAUUGGAUUUAUGCCAAGUUUUGGGGAGUUUACGGCCCAAGCACUAUCCUUGGCCGUAAACUCAUCUAAGUCCCCCAAAAAUCAUGUUUCAAGUGUCCAAAUGCUAAUACCAAGGUCCUAUAAUUCAUAUCUAAGCCAUAGAGGUGAUUUGGAAGGGUUUAAGGGCAUGAAAAACCCCAUUAACAUGAGUUUACGGCCCAAGCUUAUGCCUUGGCCGUAAACUCCUUCAAAGUCCUCAAAAUCAAAGUUUUAAGUGUUCUAAGUCCAUAUCUUGAAGUCCCUUAGCCAUAUCUAAAGUCCAAUUGAGUCUAGGAAGGAGUUUAAGGGCUAAAAACCCUUCAAAAUGGUGUUUACGGCCUAGGCAGCCUCCUGGGCCGUAAACUCACAUAUAUUGUCCAAUUUCAUGAUUAAGUGUCUAAUUUGGAAGCUAAACAUGCUAUAGAUUAAGGCUAGGAAGGUACCUUAAGGAUUUGAAGCCUUAAAUUUGAGUUUUGGACACUUAAUCUUUGGAUUUAGGAGAGAGGUUAGAGAGAGAGUAGAGAGAGAAGGAAAAAGCUUCAAAUGAGUGCUUAAACAUGUUUAUAUAGUCCCUAAAACUUGGACACGGUGGAAUUCUACCCGAUACCGGCCUUAAACGAUGCUUUGGGUCGCACCCGAUUGAGUUUCCGUCACCCGACGAGGAUAUUUCUAAAACUUAUGAAAUAAAUGUUUUGGGCUAAAUUCAUGAGUUCCUAAAUGAUUUGGACCCUCAUUGAAUGAAAAUAAACAUAUAAUUUUAGUUAACUAAGCCCAAAAACGAUAACAGGACAUUUCGAUUUCCGACGAGUUAUUCGGGUAGAACGGGUUUUCGGCGAUGAACAACUUCGGGUUGUUACAUUAUCCCCCCGUUAGAGGGAAUUUCGUCCCGAAAUUCAAAGAAUAAGAUACAGGUCAUGGAUUGGAAUGAGAUACGAAUGGAUUUGUUGCCUCGGAUCUUCACUUCCUCAAGUGGAAUCAGGUCUCUAUUGGGCGUUCUAACGAAUUCUCAUUAUCGGAACAUGUCUUGGUUUUGCUUCUUGACUCUCUCUCAAUCUACGAUAUCAAUCUGCUUUCUCGUGGAAGUUCCAACCCUGAAUGACUUCGGUUUCCUCAAAGGAAUCACUAGGGUUUCGUUGGGCAGACGCUUCUAAGGAUUCGAGACGUGAUGGUCUAGAUAGAUAUUACCAAGCUCUAAGGGCAUCCGAAACUUGAAGGUUACAGAAUCGAUCUCUACGAAGAUCUCGAAAGGUUUGAUGUGAGACUAAACUAGAUGCUCGAAAGAAACUCCCGGGAAUCCUUCGGGAUAGACAUUUAGAGGGAAUAGUUGCUAACUUCCCGUUUCUCAAUAAUCACAGAAACGAGGGAUGCGUGAUAAUUUACAUUGGGAAAACUUUUGAGUUCUAAAGCAUAAAAUGAUACGGAAGUUUGAUGCCGAAGAUCACGAGAACCGGGUCGAGAAAGAAAUCUAGACGAGCGACCCUUUCGAAAGUAAGGAUAACAAUAUGAAUGAGACUCGGUCAUUUCUGGUUAAACAUGGCAUCAAAGUAUUUUCAUGGAAAGUUUCCCCCUUUAUAAAUCGAAUGGAAUAGAAUAGUCCUCCGGACCGAGGAUUCAAUCUAUAGGUACGAAGUUAGUGUUCUCUAUCUCACUAGUUAGUCGUCUCGACGGUAUACAUUUCGAUUACAUGCGAAGGAUUGAGUUUAGAAUACGUUCGAAUAGAUAGAUAACAGGUUUCCCUUUUGCACCCAAAAUCGAAAAGAGUUGCAAGUAUAAGAAUUAUCAAAGAGAGAUAUACCUGCGGCAGCAGAGGGAUUUGUGGUUGUAGCUGUCUUGGGACAAUUCCUUUUGAAGUGCCCAGCUUCACCACAAUUGUAGCAGGCCGGACUGAUUCCCACUCCAGAUGAUUGGUUUGUUGGCUUGGCUGGUUUUCUACAGGUUCGCGCAAGAUGGCCCUUAUUGCCACAGUUGUCGCAGAUCCUUUCGCGACAUGGUCCAGGAAUGCGGUGGUGGUAGUUGCACUUACCACACCAAGGAAGGGUACCAGUAUAUCCACUGGCGGGAGUUUGGGCUGUGGAACCUACAGCUGAAACAGCAACAGGGGCAGUAGCAGCAUGGACUGCUACCGUUUGCUGUUUCUUAGAAGACCCUUGCGUACUCUGGGCCUUCCGCUUGUUCCAGGAUUUCUUUUUACUUCCGCCUCCACUAGUGACUGGCUCGGGGGUAGUAGCUUCUUCAUCAGAGUUGUCUUCGUGAUCUAUCAGGAUUUUCGCAAGGCACUUGGCACUGUCAUAUGUGUCUGGCUUCGCAGCCAAGACAUUCCCCUUUGUUGGCUGGGUCAACCCCCAGAUGAACCUCUCUAUCUUUUUACUUUCCGGGGUAACCAUUCCCGGACAAAGUAACGCCAGAUCGUCGAAUCUUGAGGUAUAAGCAGCUAUGUCAGAACCCUUCAUCUUAAGGUUCCAUAGUUCAUGUUCUAGCUUCUGAAGUUCGCCCCGAGGGCAAUACUCUGCGAGAAGAAGCUCCUUCAUAGCUUCCCAACCCAUAGCAUUGGCUACAGGUAAAGUUAAGGAUUUGACUCGGCCAUUCCACCAAGUCAGGGCUUUGUCUAGGAAAGUACAGGCAGCAAACUUGACUCUAUCAGACUCCGAACAGCCACAUAUUUCAAAGAUUGAUUCGAUUCUCUCGAACCAUCGGGUUAAAGCAAUGACACCCCCUGUGCCAUCGAAGAAUGUCGGUUUUGCGUUCAUGAAGUCUUUAUAGGAACCCCCUUUUUGGUGUCCCUGGCUAUCUUCUGGGUUUUGGGGUUGGGGAUCACCUCCUGAAUUUCUAGAGUUCAUUUGCGACAUGGCUGCUACCAUUGCAGCAGUCAGAACUGUCUGAAGCGAUGCAAGAUCAAGUUGAAAAGGAGGAUUGUUGUUGUUCGUUGAGCUGGGUCUCUUUCUUGGAGGCAUCGUGAUCUAACAAGAUCAGGAAAGAGAGGAUCAUAAGUCCUCUGAAUUGAAUCAAGAGAUAUGGGACAGGAGAUAUCUCAUCAAGGCAAAUAUAGCAUCAUACUAAGCGAUAAAGCAGAAAGGAGUUAUCAAGAUAGAACAUUUUAUCGCUAGAGGAAUGAUCAAGGAAUAACGCGUAUACGAGAAUUUCUACAAAGGAUCGGCUCGAGAAAUACUCCCAUAGUAUUUCAUGGUUCGCUGCAGCGACGAUUUGUUGUUUGGGAUAUUGGGUAAGUUUUAGGUAUGCCGCAUGCCACAGUCACUCCCAAGCACAUGUUGGCCGUGUCUCGAAUGAAUAUAGUUGGCCAGGCUAUAUUGACCCUAGACACGACUACAUAACUGCCCAGGUUUAACCGCAGCGUACAACACCCAUUUACUUAUGUUUUGUUCUACUUGUAGUUACGGAUUUCGACGGCUCGUCAUACUUAAAUACUUUUGAAAGUAUAUUAUAUUCUGUAGGAUACUUAUAGUUCAGAGCACUUAGGCCCCUUAAUGUUUAUAGUUUUAUACCAUGUAAUGUUUGGUAUACUCUGUUCACUAUAAACAAGGGCUCUGAUACCAAUCUGUCACACCCCGAAAACCAAAGGCGGAAACGUUUCCGGGGUUGACUCCACGUUGAGUAUCAAAUCCAAUGUACAUAGUAAUCACAGUAAACAACCAUUACAUUACAUAUAUAUGAAAGUUUACAUUUGGUUCAAAAGUAAAUUGUACAAAAGUUAUACAUAUAUCAUAUGAACAAAACGAGACGAGUCUUCUGAGCACUCCGUCUUCACCAAAAGAUAUCGUCGGGUACCUGUCUAACUUGGACCUGAGAAUACAAGCAGUUUGAAAAUCAGCAUAAAGCUGGUGAGUUCAUAAGCGGUUUUGUUUUAUGAAAAUGUAUCGGUUUCCUUUAGUUUUUCCGAAAAAGUUUGUUAUCCAAGAAAAUCCCAUAUUUUCUUAUAUUGAGUAGUUUAGUUAUCUUUCAUUACAGUUCAGUUACGCGUUACAAGUUAUUCCCAGGAAAAUCCCAUAUUUUCCUAAAUGCAAGAUUGAUUGAAUAACACAGAGUAUAGUUUAAUACACAAACUAUAUAUUGAAAAUCAUAGGAUUACUAUCCCGAGUUAGUUAAGAAUACCAUAAUAUACACGAACUGUAGAUAGAAAAUAGAUUGAAAACCAUGGGACUAACAUCCUGAACUAGUUACAAGAUAGUUUGAUAUACUAGGAAAUACAGAUUGAAAACCAUGGGACUACUAUCCCGAAUCAGAUAUGAGAUUAUUUGAUAAAACCAUGGGAUCACUAUCCCGAAUUUGAUAUAAGAUAGUUAGAUAAAAUCAUGGGAUUACCAUCCCGUACAAGAUAUAGAUUCAAAACCAUGGGAUUACCAUCCCGUACAAGAUAUAGAUUCAAAACCAUGGGAGUACCAUCCCGUACAAGAUAUAGAUUUAAAACCAUGGGAUUACCAUCCCGAACGAGAUAUAGAUACCAGACCAGGGGAUUAUCGUCCCGAAUAAGAUAUAGAUUCUAAACAAAAUCCCAGCUGUGAAUAAGUAUAUAAUAAUACGUAUUGUGAGUCGGGUAACCAUACUGAUACGACAACGAGACCUCCUUGACGUUAGUCAGACGUCGGAUGAUAUACAUAAUUUGUCACCCCAGGCGUGCCCGCCUAACUGUAGCUAGCAGUUAAGGUGUGGGAUUGUCAGUCCCGAAUAGAUCUAUUCAGAAAUUCCUCGCUCUCCCUCCAGGAGACUCUGGUUACACUUCCGGGGAGGAUUUACUGAUCAUCCAUAAAGGGUAGUGACUACUCACAAACUAGUACUAAACUAUUCACAGGAUUCUCAUACGAUAUCAAACAUACAAAUAUUAUGAAACAUGAUACAGUGAAAAUAGAUACAUACUAUGAAACUAUCUGGCAAUACAUUCAAAUGAUACGGAGAUAAACUGAAUCAGACAUAGUUUAUCUAAUAACUUUAUACAGAUAUCAGUACAUGAUAUAAAGAGAAAUAUAGAACCCCAAAUUAUUCCCAUAAUAAUUUGAUUAGUUUGGUUAUUUUCUUAACUAAAAUCCAUUUAGUUGUAAUUGAUAAAUCAUUCCUUAUGCUCAGCAUAAUACAUAAGGAGUAAAGGAGUUUAUAAGUUUGCCAGAUAUUAUUUGGAACACGUCAAUGUUAUAAUUCGAAAACAGUUAUAGUUUGCUUGUAUUCCCCCCCUGAAAACACUGAAAAAAACACGGAAAAAGGCGUAGGGGUAUGAACUCACCGGACGAGAAAUGUGACGAUUUGGAUGCUAAGUGUUGGUCCGGGGCUUGCAAACACACGAGGUUCCUAAGUAUAAUAUAAAGAUACGGAUUUGUAUCUAAUUAGGACUUAGAUUGAUUAUUUGAUAGGGACAAUUGCUUGUAGUCGCGAAAACACCCCGAUACAAGUGUUUGGAGGGACCCGGGUGACAUUUAGGGACACAUAUGGUUAGGAUAUUGAAUUGGGACUUCAAACGAAUACUCCUUAGGGAGUUUACGGCCAUAAUGACCCUCUCCCCAUAAACUCAUGGUGGGGUGAGUUAUGGCACAAAAUGGCUUCAAACACUAAGGGAAUAAUUUCUAGGUUUGGUUUAGGGGCUUGGAAUAAUUUUUAAACACCAAAUAGACCUAUUUAAGGGAUUUUACGGCCUAGCAUAGGACUCAUGGCCGUAAACUCUCAAAUCUCCAUGAAUAAGUGUGUUAUUGGUUCCAAACAAAUCACAUGUGAUUGCUAAAAUUAUUGCUUGGCCUUUCAUGCAUUUCUUUGAAAUUUUGGAGGGGUUUUUGGAGUUUACAGCCUAUGAGACCCCCCUCAUGGCCAUAAACUCUCUUAGAGAGUGAUUCCAUGUCUUUUAAAGCCAAAAACUUGUUUGUAAGGACUUCUAAAAUUCAUUCCAAGGCUUUAGGGGUGUUAUAGGGGUUAAACAACACUUUAAAAUGAAUUUUCAUCAUGUUUUAAGGAGUUUACGGCCCAAGCACUUGCGUUGGCCGUAAACUCACAAUAAU
This 18520-nucleotide long non-coding RNA is filed under the name Lactuca sativa (garden lettuce). RNAcentral describes it as "long non-coding RNA (LSAT_LNC000942)". Lineage: Eukaryota; Viridiplantae; Streptophyta; Magnoliopsida; Asterales; Asteraceae. The record is from RNAcentral.